UACGAAGGGGGCUAGCGUUGCUCGGAAUCACUGGGCGUAAAGGGUGCGUAGGCGGGUCUUUAAGUCAGGGGUGAAAUCCCGAGGCUCAACCUCGGAACUGCCUUUGAUACUGGGGAUCUCGAGUCCGGAAGAGGUAAGUGGAACUGCGAGUGUAGAGGUGAAAUUCGUAGAUAUUCGCAAGAACACCAGUGGCGAAGGCGGCUUACUGGUCCGGAACUGACGCUGAGGUGCGAAAGCGUGGGGAGCAAACAGG
Molecule: ribosomal RNA, 253 nt
Filed under: uncultured bacterium
Lineage: Bacteria
Description: partial 16S ribosomal RNA
Rfam family: Bacterial small subunit ribosomal RNA
Source: RNAcentral